This 397-nucleotide ribosomal RNA is filed under the name uncultured bacterium. RNAcentral's name for it is "partial 16S ribosomal RNA". It matches the Rfam family "Bacterial small subunit ribosomal RNA", at positions 523 to 918 of the family's 1533-position model. The record is from RNAcentral.
AUACGUAGGGGGCGAGCGUUGUCCGGAAUGAUUGGGCGCAAAGGGCGCGUAGGCGGCGCGGUACGUCUGGAGUGAAAGUCCUGCUUUCACGGUGGGAGCUGCUUUGGCUACUGCUGCGCUUGAGUGCCGGAGAGGCUAUCGGAAUUUCCGGUGUAGCGGUGAAAUGCGUAGAGAUCGGGAGGAACACCAGUGGCGAAGGCGGGUAACUGGACUGCAACUGACGCUGAGGCGCGAAAGUGUGGGGAGCAAACAGGAUUAGAUACCCUGGUAGUCCACACUGUAAACGAUGAAUGCUAGGUGUAAGAGGUAUCGACCCCUUUUGUGCCGGAGUCAACACAAUAAGCAUUCCGCCUGGGGAGUACGGCCGCAAGGUUGAAACUCAAAUGAAUUGACGGGG